Molecule: unclassified non-coding RNA, 782 nt
Filed under: Hevea brasiliensis (rubber tree)
Lineage: Eukaryota; Viridiplantae; Streptophyta; Magnoliopsida; Malpighiales; Euphorbiaceae
Source: RNAcentral
GAAAAAGGAAAAAAAAAAUAAUAUGUCAAAUUUUGAUAGAGGCAAAGAAUUGGUUGAGGGAUCAUCACCUGCAACGCCUAGUCGAUAUGAGUCUCAAAAACGUCGUGACUGGAAUACGUUUGGUCAGUACCUAAGGAAUCAAAGACCACCCGUUUCCAUUUCCCAAUGCAAUAGCAACCACGUGUUGGAGUUCCUUAGGUACCUAGACCAAUUUGGGAAGACUAAGGUUCAUUUGCAAGGUUGUAUCUUUUAUGGUCAACCCGAGCCCCCGGCUCCCUGUACUUGUCCGUUAAGACAAGCCUGGGGGAGCCUGGAUGCUCUCAUCGGGCGGCUCAGAGCCGCCUAUGAGGAGAACGGUGGCUCCCCCGAGACAAACCCUUUCGCGAGCGGCGCGAUUAGGGUGUAUCUAAGGGAAGUGAAAGAGUGUCAAGCAAAAGCAAGAGGAAUUCCGUACAAGAAGAAAAAGAAGAAGGCUAGUGAGAGCAAAGGAGAUGAUGAUUGCACUUCUUCUCACCCAUUUUCUUGAUCCAAAAAAUGAAAAGUGAUGAAUUGUGUCUUCAUGAGAAGGUUAUUGCUGAACACUUAAGGGAUUUGCUAUAUAUAUAGCUCUGGAAGAAUUAUGUUUCAUAUUUAUUAAGUCAUCAUUUGUUGUUUUUUUUUAUAUAUAUAAGUGCCUUGAUUUCCUUUUUUUCUGCUAAUUAAUUAAUUAGCAGUCAUGUUCAAUCAGAGGCAUUUUCUUCAAAUUAUUACUGCUUAGUAAUUUAAAUAUUCUACUGUUCUUU